CACGUAGGGGGCAAGCGUUGUCCGGAUUUAUUGGGCGUAAAGAGCUCGUAGGCGGCUCGGUAAGUCGGGUGUGAAACCUCCAGGCUCAACCUGGAGACGCCACUCGAUACUGCCGUGGCUAGAGUCCGGUAGAGGAGCGUAGAAUUCCUGGUGUAGCGGUGAAAUGCGCAGAUAUCAGGAGGAAUACCAGCGGCGAAGGCGGCGCUCUGGGCCGGUACUGACGCUGAGGAGCGAAAGCGUGGGGAGCAAACAGG
Molecule: ribosomal RNA, 254 nt
Filed under: uncultured bacterium
Lineage: Bacteria
Description: partial 16S ribosomal RNA
Rfam family: Bacterial small subunit ribosomal RNA
Source: RNAcentral